UGAGGAAUAUUGGUCAAUGGGCUUACGCCUGAACCAGCCAAGUCGCGUGAGGGAAGACUGCCCUAUGGGUUGUAAACCUCUUUUGUCAGGGAGCAACGCCGGCUACGUGUAGCCGGACUGAGAGUACCUGAAGAAAAAGCAUCGGCUAACUCCGUGCC
This 158-nucleotide ribosomal RNA is filed under the name uncultured bacterium. RNAcentral's name for it is "partial 16S ribosomal RNA". It matches the Rfam family "Bacterial small subunit ribosomal RNA", at positions 355 to 509 of the family's 1533-position model. The record is from RNAcentral.